GAUGAACGCUGGCGGCGUGCCUAAUACAUGCAAGUCGAGCGAACGGACGAGAAGCUUGCUUCUCUGAUGUUAGCGGCGGGCGGGUGAGUAGCACGUGGAUAACCUACCUAUAAGACUGGGAUAACUUCGGGAAACCGGAGCUAAUACCGGAUAAUAUUUUGAACCGCAUGGUUCAAAAGUGAAAGACGGUCUUGCUGUCACUUAUAGAUGGAUCCGCGCUGCAUUAGCUAGUUGGUAAGGUAACGGCUUACCAAGGCAACGAUGCAUAGCCGACCUGAGAGGGUGAUCGGCCACACUGGAACUGAGACACGGUCCAGACUCCUACGGGAGGCAGCAGUAGGGAAUCUUCCGCAAUGGGCGAAAGCCUGACGGAGCAACGCCGCGUGAGUGAUGAAGGUCUUCGGAUCGUAAAACUCUGUUAUUAGGGAAGAACAUAUGUGUAAGUAACUGUGCACAUCUUGACGGUACCUAAUCAGAAAGCCACGGCUAACUACGUG
This 497-nucleotide ribosomal RNA is filed under the name uncultured bacterium. Its description in RNAcentral is "partial 16S ribosomal RNA". It matches the Rfam family "Bacterial small subunit ribosomal RNA", at positions 28 to 507 of the family's 1533-position model. The record is from RNAcentral.